Molecule: ribosomal RNA, 376 nt
Filed under: uncultured Legionella sp.
Lineage: Bacteria; Pseudomonadati; Pseudomonadota; Gammaproteobacteria; Legionellales; Legionellaceae
Description: bacterial SSU rRNA
Rfam family: Bacterial small subunit ribosomal RNA
Source: RNAcentral
UUAGCUGGUCUGAGAGGAUGACCAGCCACACUGGAACUGAGACACGGUCCAGACUCCUACGGGAGGCAGCAGUGGGGAAUAUUGGACAAUGGGGGCAACCCUGAUCCAGCAAUGCCGCGUGUGUGAAGAAGGCCUGAGGGUUGUAAAGCACUUUCAGUGGGGAGGAGGAUUGACAGGUUAAGAGCUAGUUAAUUGGACGUUACCCACAGAAGAAGCACCGGCUAACUCCGUGCCAGCAGCCGCGGUAAUACGGAGGGUGCGAGCGUUAAUCGGAAUUACUGGGCGUAAAGGGUGCGUAGGUGGUUAAUUAAGUUAUCUGUGAAAUCCCCGGGCUCAACCUGGGCAGGUCAGAUAAUACUGGUUAACUCGAGUAUGG